RNAcentral lists this ribosomal RNA (402 nucleotides) under uncultured bacterium. Its description in RNAcentral is "bacterial SSU rRNA". It matches the Rfam family "Bacterial small subunit ribosomal RNA", at positions 355 to 774 of the family's 1533-position model. The record is from RNAcentral.
UGGGGAAUCUUGCACAAUGGGGGAAACCCUGAUGCAGCGACGCCGCGUGAGCGAUGAAGCCCUUCGGGGUGUAAAGCUCUUUCGACGGGAACGAUAAUGACGGUACCCGGAGAAGAAGCUGCGGCUAACUACGUGCCAGCAGCCGCGGUAAUACGUAGGCAGCGAGCGUUGUUCGGAGUUACUGGGCGUAAAGAGUAUGUAGGCGGUUGCGCAAGUUCGGUGUGAAAUCUCCCGGCUUAACUGGGAGGGUGCGCCGAAGACUGCGUGGCUAGAGUGCGGGAGAGGAGAGCGGAAUUCCUGGUGUAGCGGUGAAAUGCGUAGAUAUCAGGAGGAACACCGGUGGUGUAGACGGCUCUCUGGACCGCAACUGACGCUGAGAUACGAAAGCGUGGGGAGCAAACA